RNAcentral lists this long non-coding RNA (6070 nucleotides) under Salvia miltiorrhiza (redroot sage). Its description in RNAcentral is "long non-coding RNA (SMIL_LNC006172)". Lineage: Eukaryota; Viridiplantae; Streptophyta; Magnoliopsida; Lamiales; Lamiaceae. The record is from RNAcentral.
CCUACACCAUUUUUUUUUUCCUCUUAUGUCUUUCUAUAAAUUGUGAGCAAAAUCAUCUAAUUUGAAAUUUACAUGAAAUUCAAAAUUUCAUUUUAUUGUUUUCCUCUUUAACUUCAGAUAUAGGAGUGAAAUUAUUAUUUUUAUAAAAAUAUGUAAGAGCAUCUCCAACGCUCGUUGCGAAGGAGGCGUCGACUCGGUGCUGUUGGAUUACAAGCUUGCGGGCGUAGUACAAUGUAACACAGAAAUGUAGGAGAUGAGAAUACAAGGGAAAAAACUGUAUUGAAAUUACAAUCUAAUAAACCAGGAAGGCAGCCGAGUCGAGGAAGGUCCUCUGUCCGCAAGACGAUAUACGCCCCGGUACUGCUCUCGGUUUGGCGUGUCGUCCCCAAAGAUGAAACGGCUUCGUCUCGUAGGUAGCAGCACCACACACCAACGAGUUCCGGCGAACUGGAACGAGGCGAGAACAGAACUCAACAGUGCAGUAUGCAGAAUGUCAGAGUGAUGUUGCUUGUAUGAUUUUCAGGUGAAGAAUGAUGCAUGGAGGCUGUCCUAUAUAUAGGCACAGUCCACAUCAAUAGGGGGAGCCUGCGGAGUUAAUACCUUUGAUGGUAUUCAAAUGGUGUCGGGAGUUACAGGCAGCAACAGAUGUAACAGCCCUGCUGUUUGAAUCUGCCAUGACUCCUCCGACAGCAGUUACAAUGUAACAGUACGUGGGAAGCUUCCUGGGAGACCAAGGGUCCUCCCGGGCCAAAGCCCUAGUGGGCUUCGUGUGCAUGCGCGUAGGCCCAACCGAGUUGGGCCUCGUCCCCUUCAAACCAAGUUUCCGUUGGUCCAAAAAGAUAAUAGUCGAUGUGGGCCUAGGGUAGGCCCAAAGGCCAGCCCAAAGACCACCCAAAGACCAAUUGCCAAGAUCCAAGUCCACGGCCACGGCCACGGCCGCGCGUCGGGUGACGGGGACGGGACGGGACCGGGACCGGGGCCGGGUGCCGGGGCCGGGCGUCGGGCGACGGGGCCGGGGCCGGGCCGGGCGGGCGGCGGCGGCGCGCGCGUGUGGGCUGUGCAACAUCCUAUGAUGUAAUAGCUUUUAUACUGUAAUAAAUGUUAUCCACAUUCCGAUGUGGGAUAAGCAUUAAAUCUUAUUUAAUGCUUAUCUUUUCCCACAACUCAAUGUUUCAAGUACCCAACUUUAAACAAUUAUUUCUCACUCACCGGAAAUCGGUUUUGAGUAAAUAAAUAUACUACGAUCAUCUACUCGGAACGUAGAUCGAUCCUGUCCCAUUUAAUUAUGCUAAAUUAAAUGUUUUCGGUACUCGAAAAAUUAUCAAUCAUUGGUUACUCACAACCAAUUUCCAACAAUCCCCCACAUGAGUGGAAAUAGCCAAAUGCAAAUGCAGACACAAGCUCUGUUCUCAAGAGACCUUAGUGCAUUAGAAUAGGUGGUUUGCGGCCUUGAACCAUCCUUAGUUAAUACUAUCGGAUAUACUGGUGAAUUGGUAGAACUUGAUGUCUUUGAACCAUUUCUCCUUCGUGUAUACCGAGACAACAGUAUUAACACACUAACGCCUCAACCUCAUUUCGUUCUCACGUUUUUGUCCUUUGCGGGCCUUGGACAGCUCUUUGGAUUCAUAAGUGUUAGGUCGAUGCGGCCCCCACAUCUCACUUAUAUAGGUGAUUCUUUUCCGAGUAUCCUGCUAUACUCAACCUCCCCGAGGUGUUUAGGAAUCAUUAAAAGUCAAUGACUUAACCUUACCACUAAGCAGGUUUCAACACUCAGUUGCUCUCUAGGGAAUGCAAGUAGAUGAGUGUUCUACUUGGAAUCUUAUAGCUUAGUUUUCCCAUUGAACCACGUUCUUGGGAUCUCCAGUCAUCAUGGUUGGGUUACCACUAUAAUCAUCCUUAUUUUGUGGAUUUUACACCCAUUCCCUCUAGCAAUUUAUACAUUUGAUCUCGAUUCAAAGCUUUAGUGAGCGGAUCGGCCAAAUUAUCUAUUGACUUUAUAUAGUCAAUUGAGAUAACUCCACUUUCGAUCAAAUGUCUUACGGUAUUAUGUCGUCGAUGUAUGUGUCGAGACUUACCGUUGUACAACCCACUUUUCGCCCUCCCAAUAGUUGCUUGGUUGUCGCAGUUUAUCAUGACAGGCGGCACGGGUUUUGACCAACAUGGAAUAUCUUCCAAAAAGUUUCGUAGCCAUUCGGCUUCUUCACCUGCUUUGUCUAAAGCGAUGAAUUCUGAUUCCAUGGUGGAUCUAGCAAUACAUGUCUGUUUUGUAGACCUCCACGAGAUUGCUCCUCCCCCUAUAGUGAACACGUAACCACUCGUUGAUAACGAGUCUUUCGCGUUGGAUAUCCAGUUAGCAUCACAGUACCCUUCAAGUACCGGGGGGUAUCUCGUGUAGUGUAUUCCAAAGUUUAGAGUAUACUUUAAGUAUCUCAAGACUCUCUCAAGUGCUUCCAAUGUUCUUUACUUGGAUUGCUUGUAUAGCGACUUAGUUUGUUCACUGGGCAUGCAAGAUCAGGUCGAGUGCAAUUUGUAAUAUACAUAAGGCACCCAAUGAUUCUUGCAUAUUCUUCCUGUGCGACAGGUUCACCCAUGUUUUUCUUCAUGUGAACGUUGAGUUCUAAUGGGGUUUUUACAGGCGAUUUGUCAAACGCAUUGAACCUUUUGAGCACUUUCUCAAUGUAAUGAGAUUGUGUCAAAGUUAUUCCAUCAGUGGUCCUGAGAAUUUUCAUUCCAAGGAUCACGUCAGCUAACCCCAUGUCUUUCAUGUCAAAAUUCUUUUUAACAUGUUCUUUGUAUCAACAAUGAUACGAUUGUUGCUUCCCAUAAUCAACAUGUCGUCUACGUAGAGACACACCAUAACGUACCCAUUACUAGUGCUCUUGAUGUAGACACAUUUGUCACAUUCGUUGAUUUUGAAGCCAUUUGCGACUCAUUGUCAAAUUUCAAGUGCCAUUGCAGCGGCGCUUGUUUUAGUCCAUAAAGAGACUUUACUAGUUUGCAUACCUUUUUCUCUUGUCCAGGUACUACAAACCCUUCAAGUUGCUCCAUAUAGACUUCUUCUUCCAGAUCACCGUUUAAGAACGCAGUUUUGACAUUCAUUUGAUGAAUCUCAAGAUUGUGCAGAGCAGCAAUCGCGAGAAGCACUCGAAUGGAUGUAAUCCUCGUCACUGGUGAAUAGGUAUCGAAAAAAUCGUACCCCUCACGUUGCUUAAAUCCUUUAACGACUAAGCGCGCUUUAUACUUGUCUAUUGAUCCAUCAGCUUUAUAUUUCCUUUUUAGGAUCCAUUUACAUCCUAAGGGCUUACAACCUUCGGGUAAAUCAACCAACACCCAAGUGUGGUUUUGCAUGAUUGAAUCAAUUUCACUCUGGACUGCUUCCCUCCAGAGUAGUCCGUCUGGUCUAGAGAACGCCACUUUGAUAGAUGAAGGUUCUUCAUCUAGCAUGAAAGCGAUAUAUUCUGGACCAAAGUCCUUGGCAAUCCUACCUCGUUUACUACGUCUUGGUUCUGACACUUCAAGGUCAGGGCCUGGUCGCUUUCGCGAUUCGGGCACUGUCUCAACAGGUUCAGAACUAGUAGCUUCUUCUCUAGUAUUGUUGCUUGUACUAGCUUCUUCUUUUCCCUUGUCUUUACAAGGAAAGAUAUUCUCAAAGUAGACAGCGUUAUUUGAUUCCAUCGUCAUUCCUACAGUCAUUGUUGGAAUGUCUGACUUGUGAACCAAAAACGAUGUGCAUUGCUGUUAGUGCAUACCCAAUAAAGAUACAAUCAAUUGUUUUAGGACCGAUUGUGACUUGUUUGGGUGGAGGCACUUGCACCUUGGCUAAACACCCCCACACUUUAAGGUAUUUGUAUAAGGGCUUCCUGCCUUUCCACAACUCAUAGGGAGUGACGUCCCUUCCCUUGAGUGGUAUUUUAUUGAGGAUAUAGUUGGCUGAUAGAACAGCCUCCCCCACAUGUUCUGGGGGUAACCCAGAACUAAUCAACAUGGCAUUCAUCAUCUCCUUAAGAGUUCGAUUCUUGUGUUCAGCAACACCAUUAGAUUGAGGUGAAUAUGGAGCAGUUGUUUGAUGUAUUAUACCACUAACGUUGCAUAAUUCCUCAAACGGAGCAACAUAUUCUCCCCCUCUAUCACUUCGAACCAAUCUUAAUUCGACUACCAAGUUGAUUUUCGGCUUCUGUUUUGAAGUUCUUGAAAGCUUCAAUAGCCUCAUCUUUACUUCUUAGAAGAUAAAAGAUAGCAAUAUCUUGUGCAGUCAUCAAUAAAAAGUGAUAAAGUACUUCUUACCACCUCGAGUUUGCACAAACUUUAGNNNNNNNNNNNNNNNNNNNNNNNNNNNNNNNNNNNNNNNNNNNNNNNNNNNNNNNNNNNNNNNNNNNNNNNNNNNNNNNNNNNNNNNNNNNNNNNNNNNNNNNNNNNNNNNNNNNNNNNNNNNNNNNNNNNNNNNNNNNNNNNNNNNNNNNNNNNNNNNNNNNNNNNNNNNNNNNNNNNNNNNNNNNNNNNNNNNNNNNNNNNNNNNNNNNNNNNNNNNNNNNNNNNNNNNNNNNNNNNNNNNNNNNNNNNNNNNNNNNNNNNNNNNNNNNNNNNNCCCCUUGCCAUCGAUCCUCCUUCCUCGCAUUCGAUGCGAAGCCUCACGAUCAAGUCCUCAAACGUCUAUCCCUUUCGUUUGUGUUUGAGUAGGUCUGAAGUCCUCCACUUGGGGCAAUUGUCAAUCACCGCCACCACGGUGAAUGAGUCGGAGACCACAUGUCCCUCGGCGAGUACGUCGUGCAAGAUAAGUUGGAAUUCUUGCACUUGGUCGAUGACGGGCCUCGAGUCCACCAUCUUGUACUCCAUGUACCUAGUUACACAUGUAUUCUUAGUGCUAGCAUCAUUUAGCUUAUACUUUUUGUCUAGUGCCUCCCACAACACUUUGGAGGUCUUUACAUCAACAUAUACUUUGUACAAACUAUCCCCUAGACCACCUAGGAGGAAAUUUUUACAAAGAAAAUCGCCAUUAUGCCACGCAUCAUAGGCUGCACGAACGGUGAAGCUCGUCUCGUUCUCCGCCGGUGUGGGCGGCUCGUUGUCCGUCAAGUAUCCCGCAUACCCCAACGUCGUGAGGUAAAAGAACAUCUUUUGACGCCAACUCUUGUAGUCGGAGCCACAAAACUUUGGUGGCUUGUCGGCGGUUGCGUUCGCCCUUGGGGGUUGGGUUGGAACCGACCCCACCACAUGGCCAUAGCCCAUCAUGUUGGUCCCGAAGGCCCCAACGUUCUGUCCAAACAUGGACCCCACGGAGCCACUCGAAGUGGAACCAAAUGUUGACCCAAACGGAGUUUGGCCAACCGUUCCUUGCACGGAACUAUCUCCUCCAAGUGUGGUUUGGUUAGCACCAAACAUGAAAGGAAGUGGUGUUGAACCACCAAAAGGACCACCACUAAAAGUGGAGGCAGCAGCGGCAGAGGUGGCGGGUGCCACGGUUGAUGCGGCCGCGGCGGAGGCGGCGGCAGCGGCAGCGGCAUUGGCAGCGGCAACGGCAUUGGCAGCCUCGGUGGAGUUCGCAGGACCGGUCGACAUCUCCAGCAAAGGUGUUUAAGUUUCGAAAGUUUUUAAGUUCAGUUUACAAGUUCAAAAAACUCCCACGUUGCAAGCUUAUCUCGUCUUGCGAUUGUUGGAUUACAAGCUUGCGGGCGUAGUACAAUGAAACAGAAAUGUAGGAGUUUAGAUUACAAGGGAAAAACUGAAUUGAAAUUACAGAAAACUGAAACCAGGAGAAAGCCGAGUCGAGGAGGGUCCUCUGUCCGCAAGACGAGAUACGCCCCGGUAGUGCUCUCGGUUUGGCGUGUCGUCCCCAAAGAUGAAACGGCUUCGUCUCGUAGGUAGCAGCACCGCACACCAACGAGCUCCGGCGAACUGGAACGAGGCGAGAACAGAACUCAACAGUGCAGUAUGCAGAAUGUCAGAGUGAUGUUGCUUGUAUGAUUUUCAGGUAGAAAAUGAUGCAUGGAGGCUGUCCUAUUUAUAGGCACAGUCCACAUCAUGGGGGAGCCUGCGGAGUUAAUACCAAUGAUGGUAUUCAAAAGGUGUCGGG